This 460-nucleotide ribosomal RNA is filed under the name uncultured bacterium. Its description in RNAcentral is "partial 16S ribosomal RNA". It matches the Rfam family "Bacterial small subunit ribosomal RNA", at positions 338 to 795 of the family's 1533-position model. The record is from RNAcentral.
CCUACGGGAGGCAGCAGUGAGGAAUAUUGGUCAAUGGACGAGAGUCUGAACCAGCCAAGUAGCGUGAAGGAUGACUGCCCUAUGGGUUGUAAACUUCUUUUAUAUGGGAAUAAAACGUUCCACGUGUGGGAUUUUGUAUGUACCAUAUGAAUAAGGAUCGGCUAACUCCGUGCCAGCAGCCGCGGUAAUACGGAGGAUCCGAGCGUUAUCCGGAUUUAUUGGGUUUAAAGGGAGCGUAGGUGGAUUGUUAAGUCAGUUGUGAAAGUUUGCGGCUCAACCGUAAAAUUGCAGUUGAAACUGGCAGUCUUGAGUACAGUAGAGGUGGGCGGAAUUCGUGGUGUAGCGGUGAAAUGCUUAGAUAUCACGAAGAACUCCGAUUGCGAAGGCAGUUCACUAGACUGCAACUGACACUGAGGCUCGAAAGUGUGGGUAUCAAACAGGAUUAGAUACCCGAGUAGUC